AGGAAAGCAGGGGAUCGCAAGACCUUGCGCUUUUGGAGCGGCCGAUGUCUGAUUAGCUAGUUGGUGAGGUAAAGGCUUACCAAGGCUUCGAUCAGUAGCUGGUCUGAGAGGACGACCAGCCACACUGGGACUGAGACACGGCCCAGACUCCUACGGGAGGCAGCAGUGGGGAAUUUUGGACAAUGGGGGCAACCCUGAUCCAGCCAUGCCGCGUGAGUGAAGAAGGCCUUCGGGUUGUAAAGCUCUUUCAGCCGGAACGAAAAGGUUACGGUUAAUACCCGUGACUAAUGACGGUACCGGAAGAAGAAGCACCGGCUAACUACGUGCCAGCAGCCGCGGUAAUACGUAGGGUGCGAGCGUUAAUCGGAAUUACUGGGCGUAAAGCGUGCGCAGGCGGUUUUGUAAGUCAGAUGUGAAAUCCCCGGGCUUAACCUGGGAACUGCGUUUGAAACUACAAGGCU
This 461-nucleotide ribosomal RNA is filed under the name uncultured beta proteobacterium. Its description in RNAcentral is "bacterial SSU rRNA". It matches the Rfam family "Bacterial small subunit ribosomal RNA", at positions 200 to 642 of the family's 1533-position model. Lineage: Bacteria; Pseudomonadati; Pseudomonadota; Betaproteobacteria. The record is from RNAcentral.